Molecule: transfer RNA, 72 nt
Filed under: Tupanvirus deep ocean
Lineage: Varidnaviria; Bamfordvirae; Nucleocytoviricota; Megaviricetes; Imitervirales; Mimiviridae
Also listed under: 1 other name
Description: tRNA-Tyr
Rfam family: tRNA
About the family: Transfer RNA (tRNA) molecules are approximately 80 nucleotides in length. Their secondary structure includes four short double-helical elements and three loops (D, anti-codon, and T loops). Further hydrogen bonds mediate the characteristic L-shaped molecular structure. tRNAs have two regions of fundamental functional importance: the anti-codon, which is responsible for specific mRNA codon recognition, and the 3' end, to which the tRNAs corresponding amino acid is attached (by aminoacyl-tRNA synthetases). tRNAs cope with the degeneracy of the genetic code in two manners: having more than one tRNA (with a specific anti-codon) for a particular amino acid; and 'wobble' base-pairing, i.e. permitting non-standard base-pairing at the 3rd anti-codon position.
Source: RNAcentral
CUCUGCUUAGUUCAACGGUAGAACAUCGGGCUGUAAACCCGAGAAUGUGUGUUCGACUCACACAGCAGAGGC